This is a long non-coding RNA of Zea mays, 287 nucleotides long. RefSeq lists it as uncharacterized. The transcript is spliced from 3 exons. NCBI's taxonomy places the organism in Eukaryota, Viridiplantae, Streptophyta, Magnoliopsida, Poales, Poaceae. The record is from RefSeq and is a predicted model, not a curated record.
ACAAUUCCACUGGAAUAUAGCGAAGAAUGCAGCUGGGCUCCCAUCUUUGUGAGACAGUCAAAUUUCAAGUUACCUGCUGAUCCGUCCACUCCUAUUAUCAUGAUUGGUCCUGGGACAGGGCUGGCUCCUUUUAGAGGCUUCUUGCAGGAAAGGUUAGCAUUGAAACAAUCUGGGGCAGAAUUGGGCACUUCAAUCCUUUUCUUUGGAUGCAGGAACCGUAAUAUGGACUACAUAUAUGAAGAUGAGUUGCAAACUUUCCUUGAGGAGGGGGCGCUUUCUAGGUGAGU